GCAGUAGCCGCGGGAAUACGGAGGGUGCAAGCGUUAAUCGGAAUUACUGGGCGUAAAGCGCACGCAGGCGGUUCGUUAAGUCAGAUGUGAAAUCCCCGAGCUUAACUUGGGAACUGCAUUUGAAACUGGCAAGCUAGAGUCUUGUAGAGGGGGGUAGAAUUCCAGGUGUAGCGGUGAAAUGCGUAGAGAUCUGGAGGAAUACCGGUGGCGAAGGCGGCCCCCUGGACAAGGACUGACGCUCAGGUGCGAAAGCGUGGGGAGCAAACAGGAUUAGAUACCCCUGUAGUCCCUGUCUCUUAUAC
RNAcentral lists this ribosomal RNA (302 nucleotides) under uncultured bacterium. RNAcentral's name for it is "partial 16S ribosomal RNA". It matches the Rfam family "Bacterial small subunit ribosomal RNA", at positions 508 to 807 of the family's 1533-position model. The record is from RNAcentral.